Molecule: ribosomal RNA, 654 nt
Filed under: Pristimantis galdi
Lineage: Eukaryota; Metazoa; Chordata; Amphibia; Anura; Strabomantidae
Description: partial 16S ribosomal RNA
Rfam family: Bacterial large subunit ribosomal RNA (bases 414-628)
Source: RNAcentral
GUCCAACUUAAAAUGAUACCAAUCCCCCAUAAUUACCCUUCCCCAUUUUAAAGCAAUUCAAAUGAGGUACAGCCCAUUUGAUACAGGAUUCAACCUUCGCUAACGGGUAAUAUUUUACUCACAUUUAAAAGUGGGCCUAAAAGCAGCCAUCUUUUAAAAAGCGUCAGAGCUUAACUAUGUGCAUCUCAAUCCACAAACCCCCAUAAACCCCUUUAAUAGUACCGAGAACCUCUAUAACACUAUAGAAAUUUUUAUGCUAAAACUAGUAACAAGAGAUAUCCCCCUCCUUAAUGCAAACAUAAGCCAGCAAGAACCAAUCUCUGGCAAUUAACAGAACUAAACAAAUGUAGCAACUCACUAGAAAACCCUACUUUUACUACACUGUUUACCUAACACAAGAGCAUUUCAAGAAAGAUUAAAAGAAAAAGAAGGAACUCGGCAAAUAUAGCUUCGCCUGUUUACCAAAAACAUCGCCUCUUGUACUAUUAUAAGAGGUCCAGCCUGCCCAGUGACUCUGUUCAACGGCCGCGGUAUCCUAACCGUGCAAAGGUAGCGUAAUCACUUGUCUUCUAAAUAAAGACCGGUAUGAAAGGCAUCACGAAGGCUAAACUGUCUCCUUUCUCUAAUCAGUGAACCUAAUCUCCCCGUGAAAAA